This 921-nucleotide long non-coding RNA is filed under the name Marmota monax (woodchuck). The record is from RNAcentral. Lineage: Eukaryota; Metazoa; Chordata; Mammalia; Rodentia; Sciuridae.
GACACUAGUAUGGCUCUAUGUAUAAACGUGGCUGUAUAACCAAUGUGAUACUGCAAUCUGUACAUGUGGAAAAAUAAGAUUACGUACCCCAUUUGAAUCAUAUAUGUCAAGAUCAUUGUACUGUUUUGAGGGCUUAUUUUUUUUUUAAUAUUUAUUUUUUAGUUUUCGGCGGGCACAGCAUCUUUGUUUGUAUGUGGUGCUGAGGAUCGAACCCUGGCCACACGCAUGCCAGGCAAGUGCGCUACCGCUUGAGCCACAUCCCCAGCCCCAUUGUACUGCUUUGAGCAACUAAUAAAAAAAUUUUAAAAAAAAUUAAAAAAAGACAAAACAGCAUCUGGGGAUUAGUAUGAAGAUAGUUAUGACCUUGAGGACUCCCUCUCCCCAUCUCAAAGGGCCUCAGAAAAUCUUAUGGGUCUGGAGACCACACUUUGAGACCCUCUGCACUGGACUAUCCUUCUGUGAGGGCCGAGUGCAGGACCUCAACACUACGGUUCACUGCUGUAUCCCAGAGACACAGGCAAGCAGCUGGACAAAGAAGGAGGACCUCAGUAAACGUCUGUUGAAUAAAUGUGUGAACAAAUCCCAUAGAGGGUCCAACUUUGUGUUCUCUGGUUAGAUCACGGUCUUGUGGUAUUAAGCACCACAAGAGCUUUCAUGCUGGAAACAGGAAUCCGUGAAAUACAUUCAGUAUAGCUUCAAUUCCUUUUUGGAAGUAGGUAGAGUACACUGUUUUUCUUUUUAAAUUCUUCCUCGAGAGGAAUCUAGUUCUGAUGCCAUCUUCCUUAUGUAUGGGUAGAAUUAAACUGCUUCUCCACCCUGUGAGUUGGCCUGAAAUUUCUUUCAUGCUUAAUUCCAAGUCAGUUCAUCAAAGUAGCUGUUCUUCUGCUUACGCCUUCCAACAAUGUCAGCUCUCUUUCCACG